This 84-nucleotide ribosomal RNA is filed under the name Aeromonas salmonicida. RNAcentral also lists the same sequence under 1 other name. The record is from RNAcentral. Lineage: Bacteria; Pseudomonadati; Pseudomonadota; Gammaproteobacteria; Aeromonadales; Aeromonadaceae.
UGGCGGCCAUAGCGCCGUGGAACCACCUGAUCCCAUGCCGAACUCAGAAGUGAAACGCGGUAGCGCCGAUGGUAGUGUGGCAUU